CCUACGGGAGGCUGCAGUGGGGAAUAUUGCACAAUGGGGGAAACCCUGAUGCAGCGACGCCGCGUGAAGGAAGAAGUAUUUCGGUAUGUAAACUUCUAUCAGCAGGGAAGAAAAUGACGGUACCUGACUAAGAAGCCCCGGCUAACUACGUGCCAGCAGCCGCGGUAAUACGUAGGGGGCAAGCGUUAUCCGGAUUUACUGGGUGUAAAGGGAGCGUAGGCGGUGCAGCAAGUCAGAAGUGAAAGCCCGGGGCUCAACUCCGGGACUGCUUUUGAAACUGUUGAACUAGAGUGCAGGAGAGGUAAGUGGAAUUCCUAGGGUAGCGGUGAAAUGCGUAGAUAUUAGGAGGAACACCAGUGGCGAAGGCGGCUUACUGGACUGUAAAUGACGCUGAGGCUCGAAAGCGUGGGGAGCAAACAGGAUUAGAUACCCCGGUAGUC
RNAcentral lists this ribosomal RNA (440 nucleotides) under uncultured bacterium. Its description in RNAcentral is "partial 16S ribosomal RNA". It matches the Rfam family "Bacterial small subunit ribosomal RNA", at positions 338 to 795 of the family's 1533-position model. The record is from RNAcentral.